GCCCAAAUUAUUAUUAUCAUUACUACUAUUAUUAUUAAAUGUUAUUAUUAUCUUUUUCUUUACAAAUAAGCAAGAUUGAAAAGUAGUAUGAAAAGUAGUAUAUAUACAUGAAAUGAAAUGAAAGGGAAAAAAAAGAAAAGAAAAGAGGCUUUUCACAUUUUGAUCCUUAAAAAAAAGGUAAAAAAAAAAAAACAAUAACAACAACAAACAUUCUGUAACAAGCCAAAUUCAUCCAACCCAAACCCCAAAAAAAAACCAAAAACAAGUCAAUUAAGAGUCCAUCUGCUAACCUAGCCCAAAGCCCAAUUAUCGAAGCCUAAAGCCCAAAACCCUAAAAAAUUUUAGAAAUCCUAGCUCCCCCUAAAGUCUCCAACCAUCGCUCCCAUCGCC
RNAcentral lists this long non-coding RNA (390 nucleotides) under Gossypium raimondii (Peruvian cotton). RNAcentral's name for it is "long non-coding RNA (GRAI_LNC006040)". Lineage: Eukaryota; Viridiplantae; Streptophyta; Magnoliopsida; Malvales; Malvaceae. The record is from RNAcentral.